This 252-nucleotide ribosomal RNA is filed under the name uncultured bacterium. Its description in RNAcentral is "partial 16S ribosomal RNA". It matches the Rfam family "Bacterial small subunit ribosomal RNA", at positions 524 to 776 of the family's 1533-position model. The record is from RNAcentral.
UACGUAGGGUGCAAGCGUUGUCCGGAAUUAUUGGGCGUAAAGAGCUCGUAGGCGGGACGGUAAGUCGGGCGUGAAAUCCCUAGGCUCAACCUAGGAACUGCACUCGAAACUACCAUUCUUGAGUGUCGGAGAGGAAAGCGGAAUUCCUGGUGUAGAGGUGAAAUUCGUAGAUAUCAGGAGGAACACCAGUGGCGAAGGCGGCUUCUGGACGAUAACUGACGCUGAGACGCGAAAGCGUGGGGAGCAAACAGG